AUUGAACGCUGGCGGCAGGCUUAACACAUGCAAGUCGAGCGGGGGAAGGUAGCUUGCUACCGGACCUAGCGGCGGACGGGUGAGUAAUGCUUAGGAAUCUGCCUAUUAGUGGGGGACAACAUCUCGAAGGGGAUGCUAAUACCGCAUACGUCCUACGGGAGAAAGCAGGGGAUCUUCGGACCUUGCGCUAAUAGAUGAGCCUAAGUCGGAUUAGCUAGUUGGUGGGGUAAAGGCCUACCAAGGCGACGAUCUGUAGCGGGUCUGAGAGGAUGAUCCGCCACACUGGGACUGAGACACGGCCCAGGCUACUACGGGAGGCAGCAGUGGGGAAUGUUGGAUAAUGGGGGGAACCCUGAUCCAGCCAGGCCGCUUGUGUGAAGAAUGCCUUAUGGUUGUAAAGCACUUUAAGCGAGGAGGAGGCUACUCUAGUUAAUACCUAGGGAUAGUGGACGUUACUCGCAGAAUAAGCACCGGCUAACUCUGUGCCAGCCGCCGCCGUAA
Molecule: ribosomal RNA, 501 nt
Filed under: uncultured bacterium
Lineage: Bacteria
Description: partial 16S ribosomal RNA
Rfam family: Bacterial small subunit ribosomal RNA
Source: RNAcentral